ACAUAAAGCAAUUAUUAAUUUAUAAAAAUAAUAGAUUUAAACGUGGCUUUAAAUCAGAAGUCGUUCUAUCUCCCUUUGUAUCAUCUCGAUUUGUUCUUUUAAUUGAGAACCUUCAUUACUCAUUAUAGAGCAAGCUACUACUGGCCUAGAAACUCCACAAGCUCGUCCUAAAGCUUGUUUGCUUCUAACAAAUACGUAAGGUACAUUUUUGUCUUCGCACAGUAGUGGCAGAUGUAAUAGAAUCUCCAACGGUUGGGCAUCCGCAGCCAUUACUAUAAAUGCUGAUAAUCCACGAUUUAAAGAUUUGGUCGCUUCGUUGGCUCCUUUCUUCAAUUGUUUAUAGUUCAUAGCUUGCUGAAUCAAGCUUAAUAACUUUGUUGUUAACGCAGAAUCAGCCAGUGGAUAUGCUUUUGGUGAUAUUUCAUCCAUCUUGAAGUUCUUUUCAAGUUGUUCGAAGCUGUUUCGAAUUUUAAUAUGACAGCAACUUAAAAAACCACUUGAUUAGUUCGAUGAACCUGCAAAAAUAACAGAAAAUUCGUUGUUACAUUUUGAAAUAAAACUAUCUGCGCGGUAUAUCCACGUGAGAAAACCAACCUCAAAAAUUCCGGUGUGCAUGAAUCUUCCGUUCUUCCGAUUUCGUAGAAUCGUUUUGACGAUAUAUAUUAUAUCGAGGAAUAGGCUGAGCUUUUUAAUUUCGUGGAAGAGAAAUAAAAAAUAAUAGGAAAACGUUUGACAAAUUUCGUUGCUCAAUUCCGUUAGACGCUUACAUUCGAUCGUGUGCUAGGUUGGUAGCGUCAUAAUAUAUGUAUAAAAUUGUAUCGUAGAUCGAUUGACUGUUGGAUAGAGAUUUCUUGGUGUUUCUCGCAAUAUCAGCCAAUCGAUACGUUGGGAAAGCUUGUAGGACAAAAUUCCUCUGUCAGCUUUCGCGUGUACGAAAGUACGUCUACAAGUUUCGUAAAUCUAUGACCCAAAAUAACGAUGACACAUGCGCAUUAUGACACGUGGGAUGGCGGUAUACAGAAUCAUUUAGCACUACUUCGAAAAUGAUGCGAAUAAAAUUUACUUGUAGUACAAUUACAUCGAGGAAGGAUUAACGUGAAUUUAUGAUUUAGUGAAAUUGGAUCAUUGCUCAAUGAUGAGACUUUCUCUCGUGUUUCAGUAAUGUCAUUUACGAUGUUUUGCUCUUCAGAUGAUUUAACAUCUCUUUCAUCCUCAAUUAGAUGCUGAUGGGUAUCAUCGGAAAGAAGUGUAUCGCAAAUUGCAAAGUAUCUUUGAAGAAUUUUAGAUAAGUUCUCUUUUUCUGCCAAUUGCAUCAAAGAUGAUGCUGAUGAAUUCUUUUCAUCGUAUCUUGGCAGAGACCAUUUGUUAAGCUCAUUAUUCUUACAAAUAUCUUGCGAAAGUACUUCUUCUUCGUCAGUUUUCAUUUUGCUUUUCAGGGUAUUGCUUACAAGUUUUUGGUCGAUUUUUUCAAAUUCGUGUAGUUCUGUCAAAUCCUUUGACGAUGCAUCGCAAAAUGUAAAACGCAGAUUGGCAGGCACGAUUUGUCCAUUAUGCGAAAUAUUAUUUUUGCGAAAAAAAAUAUUGUUUUCUAUGCUUUCGCAAGGUGGAUUAUACGAGAUUGUUCGUUUUACACAGUUCCUCACUAUAUAAUAUAAUAAAUUAAAAAGUACAGAGAAGUUUACAUCAUGUUUAUCGGACCACAUUAAUAAUUACUAUUGAGAAUAAUCGUAGAUGAUUUUUCUAAAAAUAUCCAAAUUUUCUUUCGAAAUUUUUAUUCAUUUUACUGUAGAAUUUCAAGUUUCUAGAAUAUUAAUUAUUGUAUGUAAAUGAUAAACUCUUAUACACACGACAUAUCGGUUAUAAAAUUAAUAUCGAUGACAGAUUGUUCGGAUAAUCACUGAUAAUUGCAAAACUUCGUUAUACAUAUAUCGUUGUUUUAUUUCACAACGUUUUACAUUGUUAUAUUAUAUAUAAUCAACAGAACGAAAUAAAUUUUGUGUUUUAAAGUCACUAAAGAGAUAAUAAAAAGAGAUAUAAAUAUAAAAAUUAUAGGAAAUAGACACAAACUUGUCUUCUGUAUUUUAAUGAAGAGCAGAAUUAAAAUUAGCAGUAUAGCAAUAUUUUUU
Nylanderia fulva is the source of this 2126-nucleotide non-coding RNA. The record is from RefSeq and is a predicted model, not a curated record. NCBI's taxonomy places the organism in Eukaryota, Metazoa, Arthropoda, Insecta, Hymenoptera, Formicidae.